Long non-coding RNA from Alosa sapidissima (American shad), 511 nucleotides. RefSeq lists it as uncharacterized. The transcript is spliced from 3 exons. Lineage: Eukaryota; Metazoa; Chordata; Actinopteri; Clupeiformes; Clupeidae. The record is from RefSeq and is a predicted model, not a curated record.
CCUACGGUCAGAAGUUUGAUACAUUAGUCUUUUACUGCUUGGUCAAUUUUCUUUAAAAAAAUAAAAUACAGAAAUUAUUUGCCAUCAACUCCUGGAGGGACUUCAUGAACCAUAAUUUGGAUAGGAGAUUUUCCAGAAGAGGAGUCACAAUUUGGAUGACAUGUGCUACACAUCAUCGAAUGUUCUUCAUCUACAUACAUCGGGUCUGACAUCUACAAAUUAACUGAGGAUACAAAGUAACUAUAGGAUUAUUGGAACAUCGGCUAACCGAGAUGGUUUUUAUGUCUGCCACUGCAGCUGACGUUGAGACAACUCUCCUGCAAGUCCUCGCCUGAUACUGCCUGUUUCAGGUGCAACAGGGCAAGUCACAAUUAGAGGUUGGAUGAUCACCUUUGAGGGCCGUGUAAUCUCUGAGGGCAUCCCACCAACAUUUGCAUCGGGACUUACUGCUGUGUUUGCAAUCUACUACAUAUUCAACCUUCAGUAUCAAGAUGAGGCAGUCUGCACUCUG